AACGGAAGAGAAAAAAUGGAGGCUGGCCGAAAGCUUCAUUGAAGACAAAAAACUAUAGAUUGAGUGGCAGAAUAAAAAACAAAGUUGGCCAGCUGCUGGGGGAUAUAUUGGAGGGCUGCAAGAGUGAUUUUUAUAUAUAAUACCCAAAGAAAUCAGCAGCUUGGAGGGUGGAAAUUGGAAUCCCUUUUGGGGAUUAUUCAUAUACACAAGUCAGCAUAUUGGAGGCUGGAAAUUAAGUGCUAAACAAGUAAAAUCAGCGGCUAUUUUUAGGAAUAAAAAAGGGACAGCAAGACAUUUACAUGCACAGAAAAUACAGAAUUAGGUGGCUGAAAAUUGAAGAAAACGAGACAGAACUACGCACCGCAAUUGAAGGAGACAGACGGCGAACACGGGAGAAAGGAAUUCCAAAUUUUCAUGCAUUUAAAAUCAAUCUAUCAUUUUGAGAAAAAUUGGAGAAUUAAUNACGGCGAACACGGGAGAAAGGAAUUCCAAAUUUUCAUGCAUUUAAAAUCAAUCUAUCAUUUUGAGAAAAAUUGGAGAAUUAAUCACGUUUCGUCAAAUUAUCGGUGAUGUCGUUCCCCCUUUAUUUGUUUAAUUUCAACAUUAUACUUGGUUAAAUUAUUUUGUGCUAGGAAUUGUGAUGAACCUUAUAU
This 653-nucleotide long non-coding RNA is filed under the name Olea europaea (common olive). Its description in RNAcentral is "long non-coding RNA (OEUR_LNC006559)". Lineage: Eukaryota; Viridiplantae; Streptophyta; Magnoliopsida; Lamiales; Oleaceae. The record is from RNAcentral.